Engraulis encrasicolus (European anchovy) is the source of this 984-nucleotide long non-coding RNA. RefSeq lists it as uncharacterized. Lineage: Eukaryota; Metazoa; Chordata; Actinopteri; Clupeiformes; Engraulidae. The record is from RefSeq and is a predicted model, not a curated record. The transcript is spliced from 4 exons.
CAAUUUCAACCCAAAGGUACAAGCUACUCGCUCAGAGCAAUGCCUUGGACUGGCCUUGGGGCAUCUCUGGAAAGUGGUGCCUGCCAAUUGUGGAGCAGUGGGCAAAGAGGAGGCUGAUCAAGGAAAUCCAAACUGUCAGCCUUCCAGUCCAAGCAAGUUUUUUUCCACUUACUCCUUACCUUCACAUAUGCUCUAAUUUAUUAAAGAUGUGUUUUAAAAAAACUUUCCCACAACUAUUUAGACAAGGACAAAUGGCACGUCUAUUUGGUUGGUAUAAUCUACCGUAAUAAGACCUGUGUUCACAAUGCAAAGGUUUGAAAAUAAAAUAAGGCACGUCCAACUUUACAAUUGUGUGUUGUCUUGUAGGCCUACUUCUAUGCUUCAUUCCUGUUCACCAUUUCAAAACAAAGCCACGCGCCCAAAGAUAAACUUGGCUUGAACUUGUCACUCGCUGGGCUCCAGUUGCACGUGUGUCUAUUGCCAUGCCAACGCAUCCGCCACACUGCGACCGUGUUGUUUAUCGGUCACAGGAGAAGUUUGCUUCACCUAGCAUCUUAUUACUUUACCAUUUCAGUCGUGAUAAGACAGAUUUUGUAGAACUUACCAGGCGCUUGCUGUAUCGAGUAUGUGAGUCUUCCAUGAUCUGUAGCGAAAAUAAUUAAAUACAUAUGAGAGAACUAAACAGAACUGAGAAAAGGAAAUACAUUACUGAAUUUAUGGCAGGCAGCUGUACCGGCCCAUCACUAGGUUCGAGAGACAGGGGGGAGGCUCAGCCCCAGAGGAAAAAAAUGCACCAAAAAAAAUUCAGCUCACCUGCUAAGAAAAGUCUGAUCCCCAGUACCUCUCCCCACAUCACAAAAUAGGAAAGGAAAUCAGGAGAGAGGGGCAGGGAAACCAUUUUAAGUACUUGUGUUUGUGAACGCAGGGGAAAGGGGCAGGUGCUGACAUGAUGGGAGGAUGAGGGAUGAACAGAUGAGUGCAAGG